This 786-nucleotide ribosomal RNA is filed under the name Triticum aestivum (bread wheat). Its description in RNAcentral is "partial small subunit ribosomal RNA". Lineage: Eukaryota; Viridiplantae; Streptophyta; Magnoliopsida; Poales; Poaceae. The record is from RNAcentral.
AUGACGACGGGCAGGGAGAAGAGGUGGAGCCUGGCCGGCGCGACGGCGCUCGUCACCGGCGGCAGCAAAGGAAUAGGGCGCGCCAUUGUGGAGGAGCUUGCCGGCUUCGGGGCGCGGGUGCACACGUGCUCCCGCAACGCGGCUGAGCUUGAAGAGUGCCGCCGGCAGUGGGAGGAGGAGGAGCUGUCUGUCACCGUCUCCGUGUGCGAUGUCUCCGUACGCGCUGCGAGGGAGAAGCUCAUGGAGACGGUCAGGGAAUCCUUCCACGGCAAGCUUGACAUAUUGGUGAACAAUGCGGGGCAAUUGUUUUUCAAAGUGGCUACAGAGUUGACUGAGAACAACUACUCGCAUUUGAUGGAGACUAACUUAGCGUCGAGCUUCCACCUCAGUCAGCUCGCACACCCUCUCCUACUCAACGCCUCCAUAUGCGGAGGAGGCAGCAUCAUCAACAUCUCCUCCAUUGCUGGCUCAGUUGGAUUCCCAUGCUUCACACUUUAUAGCAUCACAAAAGGAGGAAUGAACCAACUUACAAGGAGCCUCGCCACUGAAUGGGCUAGAGACAAUAUUCGUGUGAAUGGUGUUGCUCCAUCCAUGAUCAUGACUGACAUGAUUAAAGAUAAACAGAUAGAGCCGGAUGCCCUGGAGAAAGAGUACUCGCGGAUCCCAUUGGGGCGUAGUGGCAAGCCAACAGAGGUCGCGUCGAUGGUGUCCUUCCUCUGUAUGCCCACAGCAUCCUAUAUCACCGGCCAAGUUAUUUGUAUUGACGGUGGUCGAUCCAUUUGUUAG